Long non-coding RNA from Oncorhynchus kisutch (coho salmon), 1725 nucleotides. Lineage: Eukaryota; Metazoa; Chordata; Actinopteri; Salmoniformes; Salmonidae. The record is from Ensembl.
GGGAGGAGGACCUGCUGCCUGAGGAGAGGGAGGUUCCUCUGCUAAAGUGAGUUCCUCUAAAUGUCUGUGUAGUCUGAGCUUGUCAAAUGCUGAAGGAUAGUGGUCAUAAUGCUGUUAUCCCCCAUUGACUCUAAUGGUUGACAUGCUCCAUUCCCUCCCUUUCACAGCCUCUACCUUACCACCAAGAGAGUGGAGGACAUCGCCCUGAGGCUCGUCUCCCUGCGCCAGGCCUUCACUACCCUGCUUGGUUCCACCCUGAGCAGGAACCAUCUGUUUGUGGCGGGAAAGGUCCUCCUGGGCGCUUUGGUUCAGGCCAACCACAUGGUAACUCACUAACUCAUUCUCUUUCAAGGGAAUUAGAGCAUCCCUAAGGGGAAAUGUGUUCUGUUCACUAAGAUGCUAUUUUCUUUGUCAUAGGACGAGGCCAAAUUCAUCCGUACCUAUAACGACUUUGUGGACUACCUGAGUGACCCCUCCAAGCGGAAUGACAUUGAGAGGGAGCUGGCUGAGGCAAAGAUCCAUCAUGUGAACAUGAUAGAUGUCCUCUUUGAGCUAGUGCUGUUUGGGAUGAUGACAGCUCAGAAGUCCCUGAUGGUGCACCCUGGUGGGUUCGUGGAGCGUCUGUACGCUCUCCUGUACUCCUUCCUGCCCACUGCUGCCAACAUGGAGCCAGAGGCUGACAGAUACCUGCUGCUGCUCAAUGUAAGAGUCAAAAGGUUACUUCCUGUUUACUUCCUUAUUCAUGGUUAACCAGGUCCCAAUGCCAUUUUAGGGGGAGUAUUUCUAAUUGUCUCUCUCCUCUUGAUAAGCUAGUACCUCAGAGCCAUUUUCUAUGUGUUGUGUGGUGUUCUCUUCAGGGCGGACUGAUGGCUCUGCUAGAUGACAUGUUUGGCCAGCAGCUGGCCUGGUACUUUAACCCAGAGUCUCUGGUCACUGAGCUCUCCAGCCUCCUGGAGUACCACUUGGAGAACGUCAUGGCCAGCAUGUAGUCCUACUGCAGGGACCAUACUCCUUUCUCCAUUUUUGCUUCUGUCUUUUCAUCUAUUUGAUUUAUGACCAUUUCCUCUUCCUGGAGGUAUAAUGCAUAUAUUAGAAUAUUACAUGAACAAUGAUGCUUUAUUAUCUGCAUAUGGAAAUAAAAAACUAUGUUUAGUUGAUUUACAGAUACUAUAGGCCCACACUUAUAUGGUUUUGUACAGUGAUAUGUGAUAAUGUACUAUUUAAACACAUGUAGGACUAUAUACACUGAGUGCACAAAACAUUAGGAACAUCUGCCCCUGAACAGGCAGUUAACCCACUGUUCCUUGGCCAUCAUUGAAAAUAAGAAUUUAUUCUUAACUGACUUGACUAGUUAAAUAAGAAAAUACUGUACUAUUUAAAAACAUGUAGGAUGACAUACACUGAGUCCACAAUAGACUAGGAACAUCUUCCUAAUAUUGAGUUGCACACUCUUUUCCCCUCAGAACAGCCUCAUUUCCUCUGGGCAUGGACUCGACAAGCUGCCCUAAGCGUUCCACAAGGAUGCUGGCCCAUGUUGUGUCAAGUUGGCUGGACGUCCUUUGGGUGGUGGACCAUUCUUGAUACACAUGGGAAACUGUUGAGCAUGAAAAAACCAGCAGUGUUGCAGUGCUUGACACACUUAACCCGGUGCGCCUGGCACCUACUACCAUACCCCGUUCAAAGGCAGUUAAAUAUUUUCUCAUGCCGAAUCACCCUCUGAAUGAC